UACGAAGGGUGCAAGCGUUAAUCGGAAUUACUGGGCGUAAAGCGCACGUAGGCGGUUUUUUAAGUCAGAUGUGAAAGCCCCGGGCUCAACCUGGGAAUUGCAUUCAAAACUGGCUAACUAGAGUAUGUGAGAGGGGGGUAGAAUUCCAAGUGUAGCGGUGAAAUGCGUAGAGAUUUGGAGGAAUACCAGUGGCGAAGGCGGCCCCCUGGCACAAUACUGACGCUGAGGUGCGAAAGCGUGGGGAGCAAACAGG
This 253-nucleotide ribosomal RNA is filed under the name uncultured bacterium. Its description in RNAcentral is "partial 16S ribosomal RNA". It matches the Rfam family "Bacterial small subunit ribosomal RNA", at positions 524 to 776 of the family's 1533-position model. The record is from RNAcentral.